GGGUUUGAACUUCAGAGGAAAGGCUCAGAGAUGAGUCCCUCCCUUCGGGGAUCUCUGGAGAGGUGCCGCAUGGCUGUCGUCAGCUCGUGUCGUGAGAUGUUGGGUUAAGUCCCGCAACGAGCGCAACCCUUGUUCACAGUUACUAACGGGUCAAGCCGAGGACUCUGUGGAGACUGCCGGUGAUAAACCGGAGGAAGGUGGGGAUGACGUCAAGUCCUCAUGGCCUUUAUGUCCAGGGCUACACACGUGCUACAAUGGACGGUACAGAGAGUCGCGAGACCGCGAGGUGGAGCUAAUCUCAAAAAGCCGUUCUCAGUUCGGAUUGCACUCUGCAACUCGAGUGCAUGAAGUUGGAAUCGCUAGUAAUCGCGGAUCAGCACGCCGCGGUGAAUA
Molecule: ribosomal RNA, 393 nt
Filed under: uncultured Acidobacterium sp.
Lineage: Bacteria; Pseudomonadati; Acidobacteriota; Terriglobia; Terriglobales; Acidobacteriaceae
Description: bacterial SSU rRNA
Rfam family: Bacterial small subunit ribosomal RNA
Source: RNAcentral